AGCGAACGUUAGCGGCGCGCCUAACACAUGCAAGUCGCACGAGAAAGGGCUUCGGCCCCGGUAAAGUGGCGCACGGGUGAGUAACACGUGGGUAAUCUUCCCUCGAGCGGGGGAGUAACAUUCCGAAGGAGUGCUAAUACCGCAUAAGACCACGGAGUCGAAAGACACUGAGGUAAAAGCUGGCCUCUUCACGAAAGCUAGCACUUGAGGAUGAGCCCGCGGCCCAUCAGGCAGUUGGCAGGGUAAUGGCCUACCAAACCUAAGACGGGUAGCUGGUCUGAGAGGAUGAUCAGCCACACUGGAACUGAGACACGGUCCAGACUCCUACGGGAGGCAGCAGUGGGGAAUCUUGCGCAAUGGACGAAAGUCUGACGCAGCGACGCCGCGUGGGUGAUGAAGGCC
RNAcentral lists this ribosomal RNA (402 nucleotides) under uncultured bacterium. Its description in RNAcentral is "bacterial SSU rRNA". It matches the Rfam family "Bacterial small subunit ribosomal RNA", at positions 29 to 416 of the family's 1533-position model. The record is from RNAcentral.